RNAcentral lists this ribosomal RNA (274 nucleotides) under uncultured bacterium. RNAcentral describes it as "partial 16S ribosomal RNA". It matches the Rfam family "Bacterial small subunit ribosomal RNA", at positions 523 to 796 of the family's 1533-position model. The record is from RNAcentral.
AUACGGAGGGUGCAAGCGUUACUCGGAAUCACUGGGCGUAAAGCGCGCGCAGGCGGCUUGAUAAGUUGGAUGUGAAAGCCUACGGCUCAACCGUAGAACUGCAUCCAAAACUGUCAAGCUAGGGUCUGGGAGGGGAAGAUGGAAUUAGUUGUGUAGGGGUAAAAUCCGUAGAGAUAACUAGGAAUACCAAAAGCGAAGGCGAUCUUCUGGAACAGUACUGACGCUGAGGCGCGAAAGCGUGGGGAGCAAACAGGAUUAGAAACCCUAGUAGUCC